Molecule: ribosomal RNA, 374 nt
Filed under: uncultured bacterium
Lineage: Bacteria
Description: bacterial SSU rRNA
Rfam family: Bacterial small subunit ribosomal RNA
Source: RNAcentral
AUUGAACGCUGGCGGCAUGCCUUACACAUGCAAGUCGAACGGCAGCACGGGGGCAACCCUGGUGGCGAGUGGCGAACGGGUGAGCAAUGCAUCGGAACGUGCCCAGUAGUGGGGGAUAACUAGUCGAAAGAUUAGCUAAUACCGCAUACGACCUAUGGGUGAAAGCGGGGGAUUCGCAAGAACCUCGCGCUAUCGGAGCGGCCGAUGUCUGAUUAGCUAGNGGCGGGGUAAAGACCCACCAAGGCUUCGAUCAGUAGCUGGUCUGAGAGGACGACCAGCCACACUGGGACUGAGACACGGCCCAGACUCCUACGGGAGGCAGCAGUGGGGAAUUUUGGACAAUGGGCGCAAGCCUGAUCCAGCCAUGCCGCGUG